GUGUCAGCCGCCGCGGUAAGACGAACCGUGCGAACGUUGUUCGGAAUCACUGGGCAUAAAGGGCGCGUAGGCGGCUCGCGAGGUCGGGGGUGAAAUCCCACAGCUUAACUGUGGAAGUGCCUUCGAUACCGGCGAGCUCGAGGGAGGUAGGGGUGCGCGGAACUUCUGGUGGAGCGGUGAAAUGCGUUGAUAUCAGAAGGAACGCCGGCGGCGAAAGCGGCGCACUGGAUCUCUACUGACGCUGAGGCGCGAAAGCCAGGGGAGCAAACGGGAUUAGAUACCCCUGUAGUCC
This 292-nucleotide ribosomal RNA is filed under the name uncultured bacterium. RNAcentral describes it as "partial 16S ribosomal RNA". It matches the Rfam family "Bacterial small subunit ribosomal RNA", at positions 505 to 796 of the family's 1533-position model. The record is from RNAcentral.